RNAcentral lists this unclassified non-coding RNA (350 nucleotides) under soil metagenome. RNAcentral's name for it is "partial contains 5.8S ribosomal RNA, internal transcribed spacer 2, and large subunit ribosomal RNA". The stretch from base 1 to 120 matches the Rfam family "5.8S ribosomal RNA", at positions 35 to 154 of the family's 154-position model. The record is from RNAcentral.
GAUGAAGAACGUAGCGAAAUGCGAUAAGUAAUGUGAAUUGCAGAAUUCAGUGAAUCAUCGAAUCUUUGAACGCACAUUGCGCCCGCCAGUAUUCUGGCGGGCAUGCCUGUUCGAGCGUCAUUACAACCCUCAGGCCCCCGGGCCUGGCGUUGGGGAUCGGCGGAAGCCCCCUGUGGGCACACGCCGUCCCUCAAAUACAGUGGCGGUCCCGCCGCAGCUUCCAUUGCGUAGUAGCUAACACCUCGCAACUGGAGAGCGGCGCGGCCAUGCCGUAAAACACCCAACUUCUGAAUGUUGACCUCGAAUCAGGUAGGAAUACCCGCUGAACUUAAGCAUAUCUAAGCGGAGGA